This 311-nucleotide ribosomal RNA is filed under the name uncultured bacterium. RNAcentral describes it as "bacterial SSU rRNA". It matches the Rfam family "Bacterial small subunit ribosomal RNA", at positions 28 to 334 of the family's 1533-position model. The record is from RNAcentral.
GACGAACGCUGGCGGCGCGCCUAACACAUGCAAGUCGAACGAGCGAGAGAGAGCUUGCUUUCUCGAGCGAGUGGCGAACGGGUGAGUAACGCGUGAGGAACCUGCCUCAAAGAGGGGGACAACAGUUGGAAACGACUGCUAAUACCGCAUAAGCCCACGACCCGGCAUCGGGUUGAGGGAAAAGGAGCAAUCCGCUUUGAGAUGGCCUCGCGUCCGAUUAGCUAGUUGGUAAGGUAACGGCUUACCAAGGCAACGAUACGUAGCCGACCUGAGAGGGUGAUCGGCCACACUGGAACUGAGACACGGUCCAG